Non-coding RNA from Podarcis lilfordi (Lilford's wall lizard), 129 nucleotides. NCBI's taxonomy places the organism in Eukaryota, Metazoa, Chordata, Lepidosauria, Squamata, Lacertidae. The record is from the annotation of a GenBank genome assembly.
UGUCCAGUAGCACCUUAGAGACCAGCUAAGUUUGUUCUGGGUAUAAGCUUUAGUGUACAUGCACACUUCUUCAGAAACACAUGAAAGCUUAUACCCAAACUUAGUUGGUCUCUAAGGUGCUACUGGACA